Non-coding RNA from Bos taurus (domestic cattle), 73 nucleotides. NCBI's taxonomy places the organism in Eukaryota, Metazoa, Chordata, Mammalia, Artiodactyla, Bovidae. The record is from Rfam.
UCCCUGGUGGCUCAGAUGGUAAAAGCGUCAGCCUACAAUGUGGGAGACCCAGGUUCCAUUCCUGGGUCGGGAA